This 908-nucleotide unclassified non-coding RNA is filed under the name Hevea brasiliensis (rubber tree). The record is from RNAcentral. Lineage: Eukaryota; Viridiplantae; Streptophyta; Magnoliopsida; Malpighiales; Euphorbiaceae.
ACCCUUUUGUGUUUAGAGCUAGAAGCUCCAUACUGUGAAUCCAGCAAAAGUUUACACUGUUUAUAGGCAUCUUUAGCAAUUGCCUGCCCAAUGGAAGAACUCGAAUUAUCUUGAGGACAAAAUCUUGUUGAGUUGUGAAUCCUUGUGAGAUGCUUAUGGUCUCUUCUUGCUGUGCUCAUAUCCAACUUGUGCUCGUCACCAGAAAUGUAAUUCAAGUUGGAAUAUGAUCCUGAGCGUGAAGAGCUCUGAGAACUGGUAUCAUCAAACAUAUCAUCUUGGAGACAUUGUGUCAUUAAUCCUGAAAUGGAUGCUUGAGAUGACGAACAUGACGAGGAAGAGUCAAAAGGAUGAUUAGUCGCAUCGUCUUCUUGGUAGUUGAAUGUAUGAUGAGCUUCAAUUUGAGGCAAGUCCCAUUUCUUCCAGUUUGGCACUAGAGAUGAAAUCUCUCCAUCAAUCAUUUCAGCAAUUUCAAAUGGCUCCCAAUCAUCUAUGUCCAGCUCCUUGACCAUCUCCAUUGCAACCUCCAUUGGUGUAUCAUGUAAGAUGUCAAAAGGAAAAUAUAUAUUCCUUAGCGAACCAUCUUUAUUAGCAAUUUGUACUUUAAGAAAGAUGGUAUCAUCUUCAGGGUUGAGCUUCCCCGUAAUAGUCAUGUCCGUCCUUGGUGGAUCAUCACUCAAUUGUAGCUUCUCCAUUUCUCUACAAUUCAAAAAUGGCUUCUGAUUUCCAGACCUUGUAACAGGUGAUGGUUCAGCUUCAUCAAAUGCGAGAAAUGGAUCAAGCAGUAGCUCUUUUGCUGAUAAUCUCUUUGAUGCAUUUACUAAGCACUUUCCAAUAAAUUGUUGUGCUUCCAAGUCCUUAAUCCCAUAAUAUGCAGCAGGUAGCUUCCCCGAAGUCACUUUCUUGUAAAU